ACGGGGUCUACAAUGCACUUUUGCAAGGACUGAAAGCCACCUGGCCGUCUGCCUUAAUGCGAACACGAGGCUUUUUACGCCAGGAGCUGGAUGCAGCUAAGGUGUUCAUCUCAACUUUCUGAAGGGUCGCAGGGGGUGCUGGAGCCUAUGGCAGCUAUCUCAGGGCGAGAGGCAGGGUACGCCCUGGACAGGUCGCUAGUCUGUCACAGGGCUAAACAUUCGUACUCACAUUCACUCAUACCUAUGGGCAAUUUAGAUUUUUCCAAAAACAAUGGGCAAUUAAGAUUUUUCACGUGCCUCCAAAGACGCAAAGGUGUCGCCAUCUGACAUGAUUCAGCAGCGCCUCUUCACAGCUCUGUGGUCACAAGUUGAGCAAAAGCCUCUCAAAAUCACACACAGGGGGAUUAAAAAACUUGAAAAGGUGAUUUUUAAAGCCAUCAAAGCGGCUGGACAUUAGCCCUGAUCUCGUGAUCAUUGCGCUAGCCGUAGGUCAGCCGUACCUAGAGGUGAUCAUUUCCAUAUUUGAAGAUCACCACUUCGGUAAAAACCUGCUGGCAAGGUUCUUCUCGUGGUGCGUUAGAGCCGAGGAUGACGAGGACAAAGAAACUAAAGCCAUGUCUGAAACACGUUUAGAAGAAUUUAAAAGUAAUAUAUUUCCAAUAGUGGAGGAAAAAAUCAUCAUCUGGCAUUAGUGUCAGCGAUUAUGAUGAUGAUGAAGAGGAACAUGUGAGCGCACUCAUUGAUGCUGUGCUCACACGUGUUGAAAAUAAUUCGCACUACAAACCUUCUAAAAAACUCCACAGGUAUCUGUUAAAACACGUGUUGUAAUUAUAAUAAAGGUCAAUCAAAUGGACCAAUAUGGCAAGGCCAUGAUGAUCCACUUGGUAAAAUAAAUCCGCUUGGCAUCUUUCUUGGCCUUAAGACAACAAUUCUUAUGGCUAAAGAUCCAAACGGGACACACAAAAAAACACAUGUUGUCUGACAACAGGAUCAAAGAUCUGCAUAUACAUGUAUAUAAACUGAAAGAUCUCGACCGGGCCAUUUACCAAGAGCUACGUCAGAAAACAUUCUGUUAAGAAAAAACAUUUACUGAUGUUACUGAACGACGAGGACCCAGUGUUGAGAAAACUGACGGUCGAUAUCAUUAAAAAUCACCUGAUCGACACUAUGCAGAAUCCAGCCCUGUGUGAAGCUGAAGAGGCUGAAAAUUACAG
Astatotilapia calliptera (eastern happy) is the source of this 1214-nucleotide long non-coding RNA. Lineage: Eukaryota; Metazoa; Chordata; Actinopteri; Cichliformes; Cichlidae. The record is from Ensembl.